This is a long non-coding RNA of Schistocerca nitens (vagrant locust), 162 nucleotides long. RefSeq lists it as uncharacterized. The record is from RefSeq and is a predicted model, not a curated record. The transcript is spliced from 3 exons. Lineage: Eukaryota; Metazoa; Arthropoda; Insecta; Orthoptera; Acrididae.
CAAUGAGAUGAAGUUGUACCACUUCCAUCAGUCCCGACAUUUGUCAAAGAAGUGCGGUUUAUAAAUGACCAAGUGGAUGAAGCAGCCACACUCUCACCGGUCCAGAUAUUCCUGAAAGAAGCGGAAGGUCUUUAUGAAUCGCCAGAGGACUUUGAAGUUGGC